RNAcentral lists this ribosomal RNA (460 nucleotides) under uncultured bacterium. RNAcentral describes it as "partial 16S ribosomal RNA". It matches the Rfam family "Bacterial small subunit ribosomal RNA", at positions 338 to 795 of the family's 1533-position model. The record is from RNAcentral.
CCUACGGGAGGCAGCAGUGAGGAAUAUUGGUCAAUGGGCGCGAGCCUGAACCAGCCAAGUCGCGUGAGGGAAGACGGCCCUACGGGUUGUAAACCUCUUUUGCCGGGGAGCAACGGGCGCCACGUGUGGCGCCACUGAGAGUACCCGGAGAAAAAGCAUCGGCUAACUCCGGGCCAGCAGCCGCGGUAAUAGGGAGGAUGCGAGCGUUAUCGGGAUUUAUGGGGUUAAAGGGGUGCGUAGGCGGAGCGUUAGGUAAGUGGGAAAAUUGAGGGCCUAAACCCCUUCCCGCCAUUGAAACUGGCGCUCUUGAGUGGAAGAGAAGUAUGCGGAAUGCGGGGUGUAGCGGUGAAAGGCAUAGAUAUCACGCAGAACCCCGAUUGCGAAGGCAGCAUGCCGGCUUCCUACUGACGCUGAAGCACGAAAGCGUGGGGAUCGAACAGGAUUAGAUACCCGGGUAGUC